Molecule: long non-coding RNA, 5009 nt
Filed under: Daphnia pulicaria
Lineage: Eukaryota; Metazoa; Arthropoda; Branchiopoda; Diplostraca; Daphniidae
Description: uncharacterized LOC124343835
Source: RNAcentral
AGGAGUUUAGAAACGAAAAGAUUCAGUCGAUGAAUCGUUUAUGCAAAUUGCAAAUGGUCCAAAUGCGGGUUGGAAACAUGGUGCAUGGUGGAAGAUUAGAAGAACAAUGAGAAGAAUCAGCGAAACCCUUUACAGCAAGGAAGAAUUCAGCAAAUGAGACUCUUCCUGGAAGAUUUGGCCAUUCUGACAGGUGCCAACCAUUCUCAACUGUUUGCGCACUUUCACAGUCCAUAAUACGGAAUUGGAAGACGGGGAUUACAGUGGACUACCAGUACCAGUACGUAGAGUUUCGCGAAAAUCUCGUAUUGAACUAAGUCCAUUCCGACCCCGAAAAUAACGAGGACACAUAUUGAUCACGUUUGAGGUUAGCUCGAUAGUUUACUACCUUUCGUUUAUUUCUGGUUUAGUCUCGUUCCUAAAUUAAAAUAUUUUGAAUUUCGACACUAGAUGGCGACGAUGUUGUUGUUUUUCUUUUGACACUUAUGACGAGCUUAUGUCGAAAGUUAUGUUUGGAAGCUUCUGUGGUAGUUUUUUUUAUACUGAUUUUGACGGACUAAAUUAAACUUAAUCUAAGCAAGGCUGUAACUUAGGUUCAAUGUAGCGAGUAUUGUAGUUUUAUUGUUACAAACGUCUCAGUAUUCUACAAUUCUCAGAUGUGUGUGUAUGUGUAGUCUCAAGAUGGUGAUGGUGUUAACCAAGUAGUGAUAUAUUAUCACUUUUAUCCAUAAUAGUUUCCCCCAAUAGAAAGUAAGUAAAAAUUUCCAACAGUCGAUUGAGGUUCUCCUGUACUGCUACAUUUGGUGUUGCAUAAAAAAAUUCUUCAUUUCAAGGCCCCAUGAAUCUCCCAUUUUUAGUUCUUCAAUGAGUCUGCUUUUUAUUUGGGGAAGUAUUGCUUUCAGUCACCUCAAUCUUGUUUGAUUAUAUUAGGAGGGUGGUAAGUUUCUUAUCCCUACAAAAUCGAAUAAGCUAUUUAUUUGUUUGUUACGUUGAGGAACCCAUACUCGGCAUUCUUUAUUUGGGAUGCAUCAGCGGGGUUGUAAAACAGAAUACGUACAAUUCCUGUACAGGGAGCGGAUUUGACAUGUGAAAGCAAUAAUAUAACUUCCUGCCAUGGACUUUACGCACAGGUUAAAUAAUUUAAAAAAAAAACUUGAACCAAUGGCUGUGCUGAUCCAAUGCACGAAAAUUCGUACCUAUCCUCUCCCGGAAUUUUCACGCAGAGGGGCUUUUGAAUUCGAAAACACGGGAAUAAAAGACUGAACUACCAGUUUCAAAAAAAUUCUACUGGGUUUAGCCCACCAGACUUUGCAUCGAGGUCAGCGUAGCCUGCUUUGCAUCUGUUAAGCAACAGCUGUAUCCAACAGAAUCUAAAAAAAAAAAAACUCACUCGCAUUCGAUUUGUUACAUCCGGUUCCAUUUAUUUCUAUACACAGAUGUGCCACCUACGAAAAAAAGAUUAAAAUGUAAUGACUUCUCUAAUAAAGACUGGUUCACUUUUGACAGAAAGCCAAACGACGUUUGACGCUCCCGCGAGAAGGUCCAAAAAUGAAGUUGGUCAGUAUUCUUCGUCUGCUUAGCCAUUGCAUUGCCCAAACUGUUACGUCUACAACGCCCAAAUUAACAACCCUCAAAACAACUAGGACGACUAAAUCAACAACGUCCAAAUCAACUAGGGCGACUAAAUCAACAACGUACAAAUCAACAACCCCCAAAACAACUAGGACGACUAAAUCAACAACGUCCUAAUCAACAACAAAACCAAAAGUAAAAACCACAACCAGCAAGACGACGCUUAAGCAAAGCACUUUAACGACAACCAAAAAGCCUGUUACCACAACUGCUCUGACUGUUAAAUCCUAUAAAGUUUGCCGUGACACAUCUUCAACAGCGACCAGUGGAUCCAUCCAGCCCUUAGAUGGCCUAACACUGGUGGCAACGGGACCACCGAAAACGUGCAGCUUUUCCAUUACCGCACCUGCUGAUGAACAUGUUCAGAUGUCUUGUUCGGUCGCUAAUCUAACUUUCGUCACAACUUACGCCAAAAUUUCCUCAUAUUCAAGUUCAUUGAGCUUUGACGGAAUCCUAGACGUUGAACUAUCGAACAUAAUCCUACCAAACAAGGUGUAUGCUUCAUAUAACAAUACAAUAAAGCGUAAGUAACUUAUCGAGUUGUCAACGCAUCAGAUAACUUUGAUUGUAGUUGGACAACAUUUCGGGAGCCCACGACAACAACCGAUUAUAAAUGGUGUCGAGAUGGUAAGACGAUAGCAGCCAAUGGAUCCAUUCAAACUCUGCGUGAACCAAUAGGAAAUGGUAUAAUGCCAGUUAGAGUUUGUCCCUUUGUCAUCAUCAAAUGGAAAUGAAGUAGAACUACUGCUGAACCGUGUCGUUACCGAUGCAGGCUUUCCAAUUGAUUGUAAAUGGACGACGACAGCAGCCAGCGUAACGGUGAAAGACUUCAACUACUGCGUUCACGUACAAUCAACGGCUUCCAACGGUGUCAUUACACCAUUUACUAAUGCGACCGACUCAAACAUUUGUUUGUUCUCUACAUAUUAUUGUUCCCCUCUGUCAGCACAUUCAGAUAUCUUGUACGGUCGUCAACCUCACCCCAAGGGAGCUACAUUUGGCCGUCGUAAGUUCUUAAUUAUAAGAUGACUGCUGCCCGAUCUACCAACAAGUGCUACCCAGUCAUGGUGAAAGGCCGGCAACCAAUUCGGAAGACGGCAACAAGAAGUCAUCAUAGAGAUCAACAGAAACGAAAGCAACAGUGUGAAAGACGAACGGCUAAGUUGGAGACCGUGCCGAGCUAUAUCUUGCACACAUCUUUCCCCUAGAAUUGUUCUAAUAAGAUGAGUUGUGUUGACUGCAGUGUCCUGCUCGAGUGGACUUGUCCUAAGGAAUAAAUCCUAAGUAGCUGACCAAGCAUAUUGACUAAAACUCGUUCCGACGGCAAAGUUUGCCCAGGAAGAGUUACGGAAUCAUCUCCAACUCGUCUACAGAUUAAAGAAAAGGCUCUUCUUAUGACCCAACGACACCUUCAUCCUUUGCCCUCACUGCUCCCACUCAAUUUCCUCGAGAGACAAGUCAAGAUUCUCCCCAUUACUUGCCCCAACCCUUGUUGAUCAAGGAAUGGGUUCUAAGUGAAGCUCGUCGUAGGGUUGCUUUCCUCUCAUAGAAACUGUUGAGCUCCUGAGAGGAUCUCUUGAAGAGAAGCCCCAGCAUCAAGACCAAGGAAUUGAGAGGUGCCGUCGCUUUGGUUUUCGGUCAUUUGGUUGGCGUCAGCUGCGCGGUAAAAUGCGUCCCUGCAAGACUGACACCAACAACCCAUCCCCAAGAAAGUCUACCUGUCAGGAGGAAAGGCCAGUUUGCAUUUCCUUCACUUUCGAAGGUCACGUAGAUCAUUUCGUAAAACGUGUCAAAAAUUGUGUAGAGGUUGGGUGAGAAAGGGACGUGUUUCAUAAUUAUCAAGCAGGUACCACAGCCGCAAGGCUUAAGAGGUGGAGGGAUGAAAAAAAUUGUAUAAAAGGAGAGAGAAAAGGCGAAAGAAAUCAGUCGAGUGAGCAUCUCCGACACGGCAUCAACUGGUGCAGCGCACUAUUUGUCACCAACUGCCUUCUUCAUCGUGUUACCACUUCGCAAUCAUGGUCAACUACGGCGUCGUGCUGCUGUUGUGUGUUGAACUGUUGAUGGCUGGUUACUGUUCCCCUGGCGAGAUAUCGGGUCCCUUCAUAAAGCAACAACGAAGAAAUCAGUCAAGUGAUCAUCUCCGACAUGUCAACAAUUGCUGCAGUCACUAACUGCUUUCUUUGUCGUUUUAAAUCAAUUCGCAAUCGUAGUAUAACUAAGGCGUCGUGCUGGGUCUUGUAUCGUUGACGGCUGGUUCGAUCACUGGUGUACCGAUGUUUCCUGGGUAUGGCGGAUACCAAACCGCAACGCUGCCGCCUUGCUACACAACCCUAUAUGACACGACCAGUUAUACCGAGGCCCCCAAAUACUACACCAAGGCUCCAGAUUAUUAUACCACAACUUAUGCUGCCCUGAACUGCUACACCGAAUCCCCUUCAGUUACAGCUACAUUACCAAAUGGUCGAGUAUUGCACCGAUGCACUUAAUUACUACACCACAACAUAUCAUGGUCGGAUAAAAGGAGAGAAAAGGCGAAAGAAAUAUGACGAGUGGUCAGCUCCGAAAUGGCAACAACUGCAGUGCAGUAGUCGUCACCUUCAUUCUUUGUCGUACCACAAGUUUUGCAAUCAUGGUUUUCAUUGCGCCAGCUUAUUACACCGAUGCUCCCAAGUACUACUCUGCUCCCAGCUACUACACCGAGGUUCCAGCUUGUUACACCACCAGAACAAUCGAAUAUAACACAGAAGCAAUCAUUGUAAACUAUGGCGUCGUGCUGCUGUUGGGUGUUGAAUUGUUGAUGGCUGGAUUGACCACUGGUGUGCCGAUGUCUCCUGGGUAUGGCGGGUAUGAAACCAAUACGCCGGCGUCUGACUGCACGACAAAACAUACGGAACGACCGGUUACUACACCGAGGCUCCCAAGUACUACUCUGCUCUCAGCUACUGCACCGAGGCUCCAGCUUAUCACACCAUCAACGGUCGAAAACUAACAUAACUGCCGAAGUACUAAUAUUCCCCGAGCUACACAACCCUAACUGAGGCGGCCAAGUAUUACGUAGCCUCAACUUUCUACAUAACCGCUGCCCCUUCGUAUUACGCUGAACCGAAAUACUACACUGAAGCCCCAGCUCCAUACUACACCACAACCUACGCUACACUCUGCUACUACACGGAAGCUCCGAGGUGUUACUCUGCCCCGAGUUACUACACCGUUAAUGCAUCUGAAUGCAUCCAACUUACUACAGGGAGGUUCCUAAAUAUUAGGGCCGAAUUUGUUUUUAUUUUUUUGGUGUAUAGAUUUUCGUCGUACUAUUAUAGUUACUUGUCACUGGUAAUUGUUGUUGAUCUUAAAUGACAAAAUACACUUUUUAAAGCGGGUAA